RNAcentral lists this long non-coding RNA (1128 nucleotides) under Olea europaea subsp. europaea. The record is from RNAcentral. Lineage: Eukaryota; Viridiplantae; Streptophyta; Magnoliopsida; Lamiales; Oleaceae.
CAAAAAUGUCUCACCCAAUUCCAACACUGAAGUUGCGAUUUGGGAACCAAUUUUCUCCAAAAACACUCGGUCUCCAUCGACUCCGAAGGUGAAAUCUUUCUCGACUACUCCCUAAUCCCCCAAAAUCAAUCUUUAGCGAAUUUGAAGCACCCCAAAGGGCGGUUGUUGAAUCGAUUAAAUGGAGAGAUUGCUUGAAGGUAAUUCAGAAAAUUUUUCCCUUUUUGUAUUUUCCAUCACUGGCUUUGUAGUGCAAACUGGUUUUGUUGUUCUUACUGAGCUGUUGUUCAAGGCUCCAAUUUUCAAUACUAAAGUGCAAUCCAUUCCAGAUCUUAGGGCAAACUGGUUUUGUUGUUUGCAUCCUGCCAUGCUCUAAUUUCAUUAACAUCACUCGUGCAGUCUUUCGUUUUAUGCAUAAUGAAGCUUCCCGCAUGCUAGCUGCGUUUUAGUUUUUACAGCACCAUAAUUCAUUAAUGGAUGCAGUACAAUUUCUGUUUCGGAGGAAAGAACAAGGGAAUUUGCCACUGUUACAGAGAACCAGGCCACCAAUUUUUGGUAUUCCCAAAGAAGCAGCAAUGUCCAGAUUGUGCCGAAGGCAUCAUAACAUGGAUGGAAUUAGAAAGGACGAAGAACAUGGUUUGAUUAUUCUUUUGUUGCACAAGAAAUUGUGAGUUCUUUGAAUAGAGCAAAUUCCUACCCUCACAAACGUAAACCAUUACAAGAUGAAGGUCAGUUAAAUGUUGUUAAAGACGAACGAAAAGGCUAUCCAAUCAAAGAUCAUUCCAGUUUGUUCAAGAAUGAGGCUAAAAUUACAGAAUAACGAGAGUCAAGAUAUUCCUCAAAAUAAGCUUCUGCAAGAGUAAAGGUGACACGGAAGACAGUGGGAAAGAAAGGGGAAGGGAGUCGUGAAUGUAUUCCACUUAUUGUUGACGACAAAACGAAAAGAACUAGAUUUUCAUUUCCUGUUUGUGUAAUGAUAACUAUACAUUUCAUGCUGUUACUUUCAUGUUUCUUGGUGUUGAUAAACUAGGAAUAAUUUGUUGUACUUGAUGUUUGAAGUUGUGAUGAUGUUAAACCGUGUUCGAUUUUAUCUAGUAUCGAGUAUGUGUUCAUAUAUGGUUUAUACACCAG